GGAUUAGAUACCCUGGUAGUCCACGCUGUAAACGAUGUGUGCUAGUUGUCGGGCCCUUUAGGGUUCGGUGACGGAGAGAAAUCAUUAAGCACACCGCCUGGGGAGUACGGUCGCAAGAUUAAAACUCAAAGGAAUUGACGGGGACCCGCACAAGCGGUGGAGCAUGUUGUUUAAUUCGAAGCAACGCGAAGAACCUUACCUACCCUUGACAUACUUGUCGGGAAUUUCAGAGAUGAUUUUCUUCAGUUAGGCUGGACAAUGUACAGGUGCUGCAUGGCUGUCGUCAGCUCGUGUCG
RNAcentral lists this ribosomal RNA (296 nucleotides) under uncultured bacterium. Its description in RNAcentral is "partial 16S ribosomal RNA". It matches the Rfam family "Bacterial small subunit ribosomal RNA", at positions 775 to 1067 of the family's 1533-position model. The record is from RNAcentral.